GCCCAUGAAAUGGUGACGUCAUACCAGCCCAUGAAAUGGUGACGUCAUACCAGCCCAUGAAAUGGCGACGUCAUACCAGCCCAUGAAAUGGUGACGUCAUACCAGCCCAUGAAAUGGUGAUGUCAUACCAGCCCAUGAAAUGGUGAUGUCAUACCAGCCCAUGAAAUGGCGACGUCAUACCAGCCCAUGAAAUGGUGACGUCAGCAAGGUCUGCACCAGCAUAUCUUUAACAGCCGACACAUGGUAGCAGUCAGCCAUUAUAUAAACUCUGAUCUCCAGUCAGAAUGAAUGAUGGUAACAGGUCUUUAUUUGUGUGUACACGUUUCUUUUGUGUUUAGUUGACAUUUUAUUUCCUGCUUUUGGUUGACAAUCAUUCACCUCCUUUCCCAGAAUACAUUAAGAUCUGUAAUGGCUACUUCCUUGGGUUCUUUUUCUUUUCCAGCAGUCAGAGUUAUUGAGUUCUUGUCUGAUAGGUUUGCCUUUUACCUGCUUCUUUAUUCCAGUUUUAUUGUACAUAUUUAUUCUCUAACAUGUUUCAUAUUAUACUUGCAUCUUGAAAUGGAAUAAAAACUUUAUACUCCAACUCUGUUUUUAUGUUUGUGAAAUGUAUCCGAGUUUAGUUGUUUUUCUGUUUGGUUAGCUGCAGGAAGAUGUCAGUUUGGUUGUUUUUCUGUUUGGUUAGCUGCAGGAAGAUGUCAGUUUGGUUGUUUUUCUGUUUGGUUAGCUGCAGGAAGAUGUCUGAGUUUGGUUGUUUUUCUGUUUGGUUAGCUGCAGAAAGAUGUCAGUUUGGUUGUUUUUCUGUUUGGUUAGCUGCAGGAAGAUGUCAGUUUGGUUGUUUGGUUGUUUUUCUGUUUGGUUAGCUGCAGGAAGAUGUCAGUUUGGUUGUUUUUCUGUUUGGUUAGCUGCAGGAAGAUGUCAGUUUGGUUGUUUUUCUGUUUGGUUAGCUGCAGAAAGAUGUCAGUUUGGUUGUUUUUCUGUUUGGUUAGCUGCAGGAAGAUGUCAGUUUGGUUGUUUUUCUGUUUGGUUAGCUGCAGGAAGAUGUCAGUUUGGUUGUUUUUCUGCUUGGUUAGCUGCAGGAAGAUGUCAGUUUGGUUGUUUUUCUGUUUGGUUAGCUGCAGGAAGAUGUCAGAGUUUGGUUGUUUUUCUGUUUGGUUAG
This 1156-nucleotide long non-coding RNA is filed under the name Oncorhynchus mykiss (rainbow trout). Its description in RNAcentral is "lncRNA (ENSOMYG00000057215.1)". The record is from RNAcentral. Lineage: Eukaryota; Metazoa; Chordata; Actinopteri; Salmoniformes; Salmonidae.